GCGGCAGGCCUAAUACAUGCAAGUCGAGGGUGAUUUUCGGUGCUUGCACUGAAAUGAAACCGGCGAACGGGUGCGUAACACGUAUGCAACCUACCUACAACUGGGGCAUAGCCCGAAGAAAUUCGGAUUAAUUCCCCAUAAUUUAACAUCUGGGCAUCCAGGAGUUAUUAAAGCUUCGGCGGUUGUGGAUGGGCAUGCGUCCCAUUAGCUAGUUGGUGAGGUAACGGCUCACCAAGGCGACGAUGGGUAGGGGGUCUGAGAGGAUGAUCCCCCACACUGGUACUGAGACACGGACCAGACUCCUACGGGAGGCAGCAGUAGGGAAUAUUGGGCGAUGGACGAAAGUCUGACCCAGCCAUGCCGCGUGCAGGAUGAAGGCCCUAUGGGUCGUAAACUGCUUUUAUACAGGAAGAAACCUCCGGACGUGUCCGGAGCUGACGGUACUGUACGAAUAAGGAUCGGCUAACUACGUGCCAGCAGCCGCGGUAAUACGUAGGAUCCAAGCGUUGUCCGGAUUUAUUGGGUUUAAAGGGUGCGUAGGCGGGAUAUUAAGUCAGUGGUGAAAGCCUGCAGCUUAACUGUAGAAUUGCCUCUGAAACUGGUAUCCUUGAGUGUGGUUGAGGUGGAUGGAAUGUAUCAUGUAGCGGUGAAAUGCUUAGAUAUGAUACAGAACACCGAUUGCGAAGGCAGUUCACUAAACCAUUACUGACGCUGAGGCACGAAAGCAUGGGGAGCGAACAGGAUUAGAUACCCUGGUAGUCCAUGCUGUAAACGUUGAACACUCGAUGUUGGCGAUACACUGUCAGCGUCCAAGCGAAAGCGUUAAGUGUUCCACCUGGGGAGUACGAUCGCAAGGUUGAAACUCAAAGGAAUUGACGGGGGCCCGCACAAGCGGUGGAGCAUGUGGAUUAAUUCGAUGAUACGCGAGGAACCUUACCAGGGCUU
Molecule: ribosomal RNA, 945 nt
Filed under: uncultured Bacteroidota bacterium
Lineage: Bacteria; Pseudomonadati; Bacteroidota
Description: bacterial SSU rRNA
Rfam family: Bacterial small subunit ribosomal RNA
Source: RNAcentral